UACAGAGGGGGCAAGCGUUGUUCGGAAUUACUGGGCGUAAAGGGCGCGUAGGUGGCCUGUUAAGUCGAACGUGAAAUCCCUGGGCUCAACCCAGGAACUGCGUCCGAUACUGGCAGGCUUGAAUUCGGGAGAGGGAUGCGGAAUUCCAGGUGUAGCGGUGAAAUGCGUAGAUAUCUGGAGGAACACCCGUAGCGAAGGCGGCACUCUGGGCCGAUACUGACACUGAGGAGCGAAAGCGUGGGGAGCGAACAGG
Molecule: ribosomal RNA, 253 nt
Filed under: uncultured bacterium
Lineage: Bacteria
Description: partial 16S ribosomal RNA
Rfam family: Bacterial small subunit ribosomal RNA
Source: RNAcentral